RNAcentral lists this ribosomal RNA (497 nucleotides) under uncultured bacterium. RNAcentral describes it as "partial 16S ribosomal RNA". It matches the Rfam family "Bacterial small subunit ribosomal RNA", at positions 28 to 507 of the family's 1533-position model. The record is from RNAcentral.
GACGAACGCUGGCGGCGUGCCUAAUACAUGCAAGUAGAACGCUGAAGGAAGGAGCUUGCUCUUUCUGGAUGAGUUGCGAACGGGUGAGUAACGCGUAGGUAACCUGCCUGGUAGCGGGGGAUAACUAUUGGAAACGAUAGCUAAUACCGCAUAAAAUUGAUUAUUGCAUGAUAGUCAAUUAAAAGGUGCAACUGCACCACUACCAGAUGGACCUGCGUUGUAUUAGCUAGUUGGUGGGGUAACGGCUCACCAAGGCGACGAUACAUAGCCGACCUGAGAGGGUGAUCGGCCACACUGGGACUGAGACACGGCCCAGACUCCUACGGGAGGCAGCAGUAGGGAAUCUUCGGCAAUGGACGGAAGUCUGACCGAGCAACGCCGCGGGAGUGAAGAAGGUUUUCGGAUCGUAAAGCUCUGUUGUAAGAGAAGAACGAGUGUGAGAGUGGAAAGUUCACACUGUGACGGUAGCUUACCAGAAAGGGACGGCUAACUACGUG